AGGACGACGCUGGCGGCGUGCCUAACACAUGCAAGUCGAGCGGGGUUGAAGCGAGGGGUAACUCGAGUUCUACCUAGCGGCGGACGGGUGAGUAACGCGUGGGCAACCUGCCUCAAGGACUGGGAUAACAGCUCGAAAGGGCUGCUAAUACCGGAUAAGCCUAUGGCCUCGCAUGGGGCCAUGAGCAAAGGGGAAACCCGCCUUGAGAUGGGCCCGCGUCCCAUCAGCUAGUUGGUGAGGUGAAGGCUCACCAAGGCGACGACGGGUAGCCGGCCUGAGAGGGUGACCGGCCACACUGGGACUGAGACACGGCCCAGACUCCUACGGGGGGCAGCAGUGGGGAAUCUUGCACAAUGGGCGAAAGCCUGAUGCAGCGACGCCGCGUGAGCGAAGAAGGCCUUCGGGUUGUAAAGCUCUGUCUGGAGGGACGAAGGAAGUGACGGUACCUCCGGAGGAAGCCACGGCUAACUACGUG
This 475-nucleotide ribosomal RNA is filed under the name uncultured bacterium. RNAcentral describes it as "bacterial SSU rRNA". It matches the Rfam family "Bacterial small subunit ribosomal RNA", at positions 33 to 507 of the family's 1533-position model. The record is from RNAcentral.